RNAcentral lists this microRNA precursor (121 nucleotides) under Pelodiscus sinensis (Chinese soft-shelled turtle). Its description in RNAcentral is "MIR7504 microRNA precursor family". It matches the Rfam family "MIR7504 microRNA precursor family". Lineage: Eukaryota; Metazoa; Chordata; Testudines; Trionychidae. The record is from Rfam by way of RNAcentral.
CGUGAUUCUCCGGAAAAUAAGCCCUUUUCCGGAGGAUCUCUUAUUCUUACUUUCAAGAAAAAGAAAGUAAAGUAAGAAUAAGAGAUCCUCCGGAAAAGGGCUUAUUUUCCGGAGAAUCACG